AGCUAGUUGGUAGGGUAAUGGCCUACCAAGGCAGUGACGGGUAGGGGACCUGAGAGGGUGGCCCCCCACAAUGGUACUGAAAUACGGACCAUACACCUACGGGUGGCAGCAGUAGGGAAUAUUGCACAAUGGACGAAAGUCUGAUGCAGCAACGCCGCGUGUGCGAUGAAGGCCUUCGGGUUGUAAAGCACUUUUCUGAGGGAAGAGGAAGGACGGUACCUCAGGAAUAAGUCUCGGCUAACUACGUGCCAGCAGCCGCGGUAACACGUAGGAGGCAAGCGUUAUCCGGAUUUACUGGGCGUAAAGCGCGUGCAGGCGGUUCGGUAAGUUGGAUGUGAAAGCUCCUGGCUCAACUGGGAGAUGCCGUUCAAUACUGCCGGACUCGAGGACGGUAGAGGGAGGUGGAAUUCCCGGUGUAGUGGUGAAAUGCGUAGAUAUCGGGAGGAACACCAGUGGCGAAAGCGGCCUCCUAGGCCGUUCCUGACGCUAAGACGCGAAAGCAUGGGUAGCAAACGGGAUUAGAAACCCCGGUAGUCCAUGCCGUAAACGAUGCAAACUUGGUGUUGGUGGUGUAAAAGCCAUCAGUACCGAAGCUAACGCGAUAAGUUUGCCGCCCGGGGAUUACGACCGCAAGGUUAAAACUCAAAGGAAUUGACGGGUUCCCGCACAAGCAGCGGAGCGUGUGGUUUAGUUCGACUACGCGAAGAACCUUACCUGGGCUUGACAUACAGGUGGUAGGGAUCCGAAAGGUGACCGACCCUUCGGGGAGCCUGUACAGGUGCUGCAUGGCUGUCGUCAGCUCGUGUCGUGAGAUGUCCGGUUAAGUCCGGUAACGAGCGCAACCCUUGCCGUAUGUUACAAGUGUCAUACGGGACUGCCGGUAUAAAGCCGGGGGAAGGCGGGGAUGACGUCAAGUCAGCAUGGCCUUUAUGUCCAGGGCUACACACACGCUACAAUGGUCGGUACAAUGGGUCGCAAAGCCGCGAGGUGGAGCCAAUCCUCAAAACCGAUCUCAGUUCGGAUUGCAGGCUGCAACUCGCCUGCAUGAAGCUGGAGUUGCUAGUAAACGCGCGUCAGCAACAGUGCGUUGAAUACGUUCCCGGGAAUUGUACACACCGCCCGUCACGUCAUGGGAGCUGGCAACACCUGAAGUCGGUAUCCUAACCCUCACGGGAGGGAGCUGCCAAAGGUGGGGCUGGUGACUGGGACGAAGUCGUAACAAGGUAGGUGUACCGGAAGGUGCGCCUGG
Molecule: ribosomal RNA, 1249 nt
Filed under: metagenome
Description: bacterial SSU rRNA
Rfam family: Bacterial small subunit ribosomal RNA
Source: RNAcentral